AGCUCAAAUUUGAAAUCUGGCUUCGGCCCGAGUUGUAAUUUGCAGAGGAUGUUUCUGGCGCGGUGCCUUCCGAGUUCCCUGGAACGGGACGCCAUAGAGGGUGAGAGCCCCGUAUGGUUGGAUACUAAGCCUGUGUGAAACUCCUUCGACGAGUCGAGUAGUUUGGGAAUGCUGCUCAAAAUGGGAGGUAAAUCUCUUCUAAAGCUAAAUAUUGGCCAGAGACCGAUAGCGCACAAGUAGAGUGAUCGAAAGAUGAAAAGCACCUUGAAAAGGGGGUUAAACAGUACGUGAAAUUGUUGAAAGGGAAGCGCUCAUGACCAGACUUGUGCUGGGCAGCUCAUCCGGGGUUCUCCCCGGUGCACUCUGCCCAGUUCAGGCCAGCAUCGAUUUUUGCUGGGGGAUAAGAACGGUAGGAACGUGGCCCUCCUUCGGGUGGGUGUUAUAGCCUGCCGUACGAUACCCUGGCGGAGAUCGAGGUUCGCGCAUCUGCAAGGAUGCUGGCGUAAUGGUCAUCAGCGACCCGUCUUGAAACACGGACCAAGGAGUCGUCCAUUAGAGCGAGCGUUUGGGUGUAAAACCCGCACGCGUAAUGAAAGUGAAAUUAGGUGAGAGCUUCGGCGCAUCAUCGACCGAUCCUGAUGUUCUCGGAAGGAUUUGAGUAAGAGUUUUAACGGACGGACCCGAAAGACAGUGAACUAUGCUUGUAUAGGGUGAAGCCAGAGGAAACUCUGGUGGAGGCUCGCAGCGGUUCUGACGUGCAAAUCGAUCGUCAAAUAUGAGCAUGGGGGCGAAAGACUAAUCGAACUGUCUAGUAGCUGGUUACCG
This 825-nucleotide ribosomal RNA is filed under the name Coniella quercicola. RNAcentral describes it as "partial large subunit ribosomal RNA". It matches the Rfam family "Eukaryotic large subunit ribosomal RNA", at positions 106 to 960 of the family's 3401-position model. Lineage: Eukaryota; Fungi; Ascomycota; Sordariomycetes; Diaporthales; Schizoparmaceae. The record is from RNAcentral.